This 427-nucleotide ribosomal RNA is filed under the name uncultured bacterium. Its description in RNAcentral is "bacterial SSU rRNA". It matches the Rfam family "Bacterial small subunit ribosomal RNA", at positions 80 to 539 of the family's 1533-position model. The record is from RNAcentral.
GGGAGUCUGAACCCUGAGGCGCACGGGUGCGUAUCGCGGGGGAUCUGCCCUUGGGUUCGGAAUAACACUUGGAACGACGGCUAAUACCGGAUGUUGCCUUCGGACCAAAAAUUUAUCGCCAGGGAUGAGCCCGCGUCGGAUUAGCUAGUUGGGGGGGUAAAGGCUCACCAAGGCGACAAUCCUUAUCUGGUCUGAGAGGAUGAUCACCCCCACUGGGACUGAGACACGGCCCACACUCCUCCGGGAGGCAGCAGUGGGGAAUAUUGGACAAUGGGGGAAAGCCUGAUCCACCCCUGCCGCGCGAGUGAUGAAGGCCUUCGGGUUGUAAAGCUCUUUUACCCGGGAUGAUAAUGACAGUACCCGGAGAAAAAGCCCCGGCUAACUCCGUGCCAGCACCCGCGGUAAUAAAGCGAAUGAUAAGCUGGAG